UAAUAUAGAAAAAAAACGUACCCAAUUCCGACACAGGUGAAUUAGAGUUAUGUUCUAAGGCUAAAUAGAAAUAACCAGGUUGAAGGAACUCGGCAAAAUGCUUACGUGCUUAUCGACAAGUAAGGACUAUAAAUGUUACAAUAUAAUUGAAGGCAACGACUGUUUAAUCAAAACACAAGACUCUGCUUAAUGUAAAACGUAUUAUUAUAAGACAGCCCGACGCAGUCGGCAAGCCUGCGCCAAUGAAUUUGGCGCUGGCGCGUCUUUUUGGGUUAUAAUAAUAUUCGUAUGUAAAGAGUCUGACAUCUGCCCAAGGACUAAGGUAAACGGCUGCUGUAACUAUAACGGUACUAAUAAACACAUAAUAAGUCUACCUAUGUGCCGUGUUUAAAGAUAACUAUAUGCUGGAAAAUAUUAAAAAAGACAACCAGCAAGAAAUAUACCUUUAUUAUCCUCCUUUAUUAUCCUUCCCGGCGCAGCCGGCAAGCCUGCGCCAAUGUAAUUGGCGCUGGCGCGUUUAUUAUUACAGGAAAAACAAGGCACCUACGAGUCGAGAUAAAUUUAGGUAUAAUCUUCAGAGACUUUACGUUAUCCUGUUUAUAAGUUUAUAACACUUUCUACAGAAAAUAAAGUCCAAUCUACGUGUAAAUGAUAGAGUAUAAUGACUAAGGUAGCAAAAUCCAUUGACGUUUAAUUGAUGUCGCGCAUGAAUGAUGUAACGAUUGUCUUGCUGUCUCCAACCUGGAUUCUGUGAAAUUGAAUUGCCCGUGCAGAUGCGGGAUACGUGUUAGAGGGACGAUAAGACCCCGCAGCACCUU
This 818-nucleotide ribosomal RNA is filed under the name Dunaliella salina. RNAcentral describes it as "large subunit ribosomal RNA". It matches the Rfam family "Bacterial large subunit ribosomal RNA", at positions 1627 to 2102 of the family's 2925-position model. Lineage: Eukaryota; Viridiplantae; Chlorophyta; Chlorophyceae; Chlamydomonadales; Dunaliellaceae. The record is from RNAcentral.